ACGGGGCGCAGCAGGCGCGAAAACUUGACAAUGCGAGAAAUCGUGAUCAGGGAACUCCAAUUGUCCCCGUUUUUACGGGGUUCUGAAUUGACUCUAAACAGGUCGAGUAAUAGGGGCGGGAAAUAUCGGUGCCAGCAGCCGCGGUAAUA
This 149-nucleotide ribosomal RNA is filed under the name uncultured marine archaeon. Its description in RNAcentral is "partial 16S ribosomal RNA". It matches the Rfam family "Archaeal small subunit ribosomal RNA", at positions 325 to 475 of the family's 1478-position model. The record is from RNAcentral. RNAcentral also lists the same sequence under 1 other name.